This is a long non-coding RNA of Falco peregrinus (peregrine falcon), 1337 nucleotides long. RefSeq lists it as uncharacterized. The transcript has 3 exons. NCBI's taxonomy places the organism in Eukaryota, Metazoa, Chordata, Aves, Falconiformes, Falconidae. The record is from RefSeq and is a predicted model, not a curated record.
UCUCUGGGGAGAAAUGCUCUGGUGUGGGAGCUACUACACAAGGAACACUAAUGUAGAGAAUUAAUUUAAUUUUUCUUCUACAGACUUACUUUCUGUGAGUGCUCGAGGAACGUGUUGAACAUCUGUCAGUAUUAAGACUUCCUGCAGUCAAUCACCUGUGGCAGCGAGUGGUACUGAAAGCUAAGCUGGACAACAACUGGAAAGCCUGGCUUAAACAGAGGAAGAGGAGGAGAAGAUGUAAUAGUCUGCCUGAAGAAAGAUGGAUGGGAACAAUAAAUGAGUCUGGACCUCAUUAAGGGAGAAAUGCACUUCUCAAGUGACAGCCCAGUUGUGCAGACUGAAGGAUGCGAUGAAUAUGCACUAAGCAAUGUACAUGGAACAAAGCAAUACACAGCUCUUGAACACUGGAACUUCUUUAUAUUAGUACUUGUGUAAGGGAAUCAGUAGUAGAAAGGGUGGGGGGUGCUGAAUAGUGAAUUCUGUACCACUUAUCUAAAGGAUGACGCACCUAUGUUUAGUUAAAGUUGGGAAAUGUCCAGGGACCCUUAUUGCAACAUGACGGAUGCACAGACUGCUAAGUCCUUGGGUUGGUUAUCUUUAAAAAGGGACAUUUUGUCUUACAUUCCUGUUGUACAUGCAGCGUGGUGAAGAUGGAGACUUUAAACAUGACCGCUAAGGAAUAGAGUCUGCAUAGAGACAACUCCUCAAGGACAUUGUCCAGGCACAAGAUAUGCUAAUGUUGUUAACUUGAAGAUGUGCUGGGUCCUUGAAUGGAAUGUGCUGAUUGUCCAGGUGUGAGAUAUGUUAAUGAGUUCCCGGAAAGUUGAUGAAUAGACAUGAGUGACUUGUAUAAGGAGGGGGCUGAGGGGUUCCCUCGGUGUGCAUGACUUUGGUGGAGCGAUCCCCCAUGCACCCAGCGCUGCCAAUAAAGGAUACUUAGUCACUCAGAAAUUUUGACUUCGUUCUUUAAAUCAAUGCUCAGGUAAGAUGGAAUUGGGAGGAACAGGAACUGUUGUCACUUGUCUAUAAUGUAACUUGCUCAACCGGCAAGGAAAAUGCAAGUGUUGGAGCACUGCAAGCUGUAAGAAACUGCACUGCAAGCCAUAAGAAACUUUAGAGUGUCUUGAGCAGAGUAAUAAUAUGCAAGACAGAUCCUGAUCUUGUCAUUUUAAUGUUUCAACAUUGGCAAACGAUCAUUAAAAAAGUUGGAAAAAAAAAUCUUUACAAAGGCAAAUGACUUUUAUGCAAGAGAAGACUUGUGUUGCCUUGUAUUUAUUCACAGUUUUUAUUGCCAGGUGGAAGAUUGUGAUAAUCAGUGUAAUAUAUUAAGAUUAAUA